GACAUGGUUUAGCAGUGGACUUGUAGUGUCAGGUACCUGAUGGAAAUAACCUACUGAUGAAGUGUUGCCAGACAGAAGAAAAGAUCUGAGGAUUAACACUGCAGCUGGUGGAUUGGUGAAAGAGUGAUAUGAAAAUACAGGGCAAAGGAAGGGAGAGAGGAGGCUGUGAAGGAAACUUGAAAUUUACGGACACCUAGUAAAUGAGAUGACAUGGAGAAGAGAUGCUUGUAUGAGUUGGAUGACCCAAAACACAUAUGUCAAGAGGUCCAAAUGGAGAAAGAGAUCACCAGUGGAUGAAGUGCACAGCUGAAAAACAGGUUUAAAUUACUGAAGAGCA
Molecule: long non-coding RNA, 337 nt
Filed under: Gallus gallus (chicken)
Lineage: Eukaryota; Metazoa; Chordata; Aves; Galliformes; Phasianidae
Description: long non-coding RNA NONGGAT004261
Source: RNAcentral